AUUUAGAUUAAUAUUCCAGAGGUAUAAAAUUAGAGGUCAGAAAUUUUAUUGAAUUUGCACCACUAAAUUAUUCAUUGUCUAAUAUUAAAUACCGAAAAAUAAGUGUUAAUAUAUUUUAGAGUUAAAAAAUGUUAUCACAUUGGGGACGCCAGUAUAGAUUGAAAUCUGAGAAUUUACCAGAACAUUUUCAAAAGUUCCCCCUCCAUGGGCAGACAAAGUUGAAUAAAAAAAUAAAUUUUCAAAA
Molecule: long non-coding RNA, 244 nt
Organism: Daktulosphaira vitifoliae (grape phylloxera)
Lineage: Eukaryota; Metazoa; Arthropoda; Insecta; Hemiptera; Phylloxeridae
Exons: 2
Source: RefSeq, a predicted model, not a curated record